GUGUCAGCAGCCGCGGUAAUACGUAGGGUGCGAGCGUUAAUCGGAAUUACUGGGCGUAAAGGGUGCGCAGGCGGCCCCGCAAGUCAGACGUGAAAUCCCCGGGCUCAACUUGGGAAUGGCGUUUGAAACUACGGGGCUGGAGUGUGGCAGAGGGAGGUGGAAUUCCACGUGUAGCGGUGAAAUGCGUAGAGAUGUGGAGGAACACCGAUGGCGAAGGCAGCCUCCUGGGCCAACACUGACGCUCAUGCACGAAAGCGUGGGGAGCAAACAGGAUUAGAAACCCCCGUAGUCC
Molecule: ribosomal RNA, 292 nt
Filed under: uncultured bacterium
Lineage: Bacteria
Description: partial 16S ribosomal RNA
Rfam family: Bacterial small subunit ribosomal RNA
Source: RNAcentral